AGUGGGGAAUUUUGGACAAUGGGGGCAACCCUGAUCCAGCCAUGCCGCGUGAGUGAAGAAGGCCUUCGGGUUGUAAAGCUCUUUCGGCCGGGAAGAAAUCGUAUGGGUUAAUACCCUGUGCGGAUGACGGUACCGGCAUAAGAAGCACCGGCUAACUACGUGCCAGCAGCCGCGGUAAUACGUAGGGUGCGAGCGUUAAUCGGAAUUACUGGGCGUAAAGCGUGCGCAGGCGGUUUUGUAAGACAGGCGUGAAAUCCCCGGGCUCAACCUGGGAACUGCGCUUGUGACUGCAAGGCUAGAGUACGGCAGAGGGGGGUGGAAUUCCACGUGUAGCAGUGAAAUGCGUAGAGAUGUGGAGGAACACCAAUGGCGAAGGCAGCCCCCUGGGUCGAUACUGACGCUCAUGCACGAAAGCGUGGGUAGCAAACAGGAUUAGAUACCCUGGUAGUCCACGCCCUAAACGAUGUCAACUAGGUGUUGGGUGGGUAAAACCAUUUAGUACCGGAGCUAACGCGUGAAGUUGACC
This 526-nucleotide ribosomal RNA is filed under the name uncultured bacterium. RNAcentral's name for it is "bacterial SSU rRNA". It matches the Rfam family "Bacterial small subunit ribosomal RNA", at positions 353 to 870 of the family's 1533-position model. The record is from RNAcentral.